Molecule: ribosomal RNA, 483 nt
Filed under: uncultured bacterium
Lineage: Bacteria
Description: bacterial SSU rRNA
Rfam family: Bacterial small subunit ribosomal RNA
Source: RNAcentral
GAUGAACGCUAGCGGCAGGCUUAAUACAUGCAAGUCGAGGGGCAUCAAGGUACACGAAAGUGUAUUGUUGGCGACCGGCGGACGGGUGAGUAAUAGGUAGGUAACCUACCUCAUACUGAGGCAUAGCUGGGAGAAAUUCCAGGUAAUUCCUCAUGAGGUUAUAUGACACAUGUGAUAUAAUCAAAGGUAUCGCAAGGUACUGGUAUGAGAUGGGCUUACUGACCAUUAGCUAGUUGGUGAGAUAAGAGCUCACCAAGGCGAAGAUGGUUAGGGGUUUUGAGAGAGAGAUCCCCCACAUUGGAACUGAGAUACGGUCCAGACUCCUACGGGAGGCAGCAGUAGGGAAUAUUGGGCAAUGGGCGGAAGCCUGACCCAGCCAUGCCGCGUGAAGGAAGACGGCCUUAGGGUUGUAAACUUCUUUACUAUGCGACUAACUAGAUUUACGAGAUAAUUCUAUAGAAUGUAGCAUAGCAAAAGCACCGG